GUGGGUAACCUGCCUCAUACAGGGGGAUAACAGUUAGAAAUGACUGCUAAUACCGCAUAAGACCACAGAGCCGCAUGGCUCGGUGGGAAAAACUCCGGUGGUAUGAGAUGGACCCGCGUCUGAUUAGGUAGUUGGUGGGGUAACGGCCUACCAAGCCAACGAUCAGUAGCCGACCUGAGAGGGUGACCGGCCACAUUGGGACUGAGACACGGCCCAAACUCCUACGGGAGGCAGCAGUGGGGAAUAUUGCACAAUGGGGGAAACCCUGAUGCAGCGACGCCGCGUGAGCGAAGAAGUAUUUCGGUAUGUAAAGCUCUAUCAGCAGGGAAGAAAAUGACGGUACCUGACU
RNAcentral lists this ribosomal RNA (349 nucleotides) under uncultured bacterium. RNAcentral's name for it is "bacterial SSU rRNA". It matches the Rfam family "Bacterial small subunit ribosomal RNA", at positions 117 to 484 of the family's 1533-position model. The record is from RNAcentral.